This 718-nucleotide ribosomal RNA is filed under the name uncultured bacterium. RNAcentral describes it as "bacterial SSU rRNA". It matches the Rfam family "Bacterial small subunit ribosomal RNA", at positions 8 to 720 of the family's 1533-position model. The record is from RNAcentral.
AGAGUUUGAUCCUGGCUCAGAUUGAACGCUGGCGGCAUGCCUUACACAUGCAAGUCGAACGGCAGCACGGGAGCAAUCCUGGUGGCGAGUGGCGAACGGGUGAGUAAUACAUCGGAACGUGCCCAAUAGUGGGGGAUAGCCCGGCGAAAGCCGGAUUAAUACCGCAUACGACCUACGGGUGAAAGCGGGGGAUCGCAAGACCUCGCGCUAUCGGAGCGGCCGAUGUCAGAUUAGCUAGUUGGUGGGGUAAAGGCCUACCAAGGCGACGAUCUGUAGCUGGUCUGAGAGGACGACCAGCCACACUGGGACUGAGACACGGCCCAGACUCCUACGGGAGGCAGCAGUGGGGAAUUUUGGACAAUGGGCGCAAGCCUGAUCCAGCCAUGCCGCGUGUGGGAAGAAGGCCUUCGGGUUGUAAACCGCUUUUGUCAGGGNAAGAAACGCUCUGGGCUAAUACCUCGGAGUAAUGACGGUACCUGAAGAAUAAGCACCGGCUAACUACGUGCCAGCAGCCGCGGUAAUACGUAGGGUGCAAGCGUUAAUCGGAAUUACUGGGCGUAAAGCGUGCGCAGGCGGCUUUGCAAGACAGAUGUGAAAUCCCCGGGCUUAACCUGGGAACUGCAUUUGUGACUGCAUGGCUGGAGUGCGGCAGAGGGGGAUGGAAUUCCGCGUGUAGCAGUGAAAUGCGUAGAUAUGCGGAGGAACACCGAUGGCGAAG